Cinara cedri is the source of this 270-nucleotide non-coding RNA. The record is from the annotation of a GenBank genome assembly. Lineage: Eukaryota; Metazoa; Arthropoda; Insecta; Hemiptera; Aphididae.
GCCUAAAAUACAUAAUUUGAAUACUUAAAAUACUGAAAUAAUUGAAAUGACUGAAUAAAUUAUAUUUUUUUAAGAAAAUCUGUCAUUAAAGUAAUAAUGUAUUUGGUGGAAUAUUGAAUUCAUUGGCGAUUUCACAUUUUUUGGGUCACAUUUUUCAACUAACUGUAUUAAACGAACUUUGUCCGAAAUUAAAAGAACAUUUAAUUUAUGAUUCUUUUCCAUUUCACUACAAAACGAACAAAGGAACUACGAAAGAUUACAAACGUGACU